Molecule: long non-coding RNA, 2192 nt
Organism: Trichosurus vulpecula (common brushtail)
Lineage: Eukaryota; Metazoa; Chordata; Mammalia; Diprotodontia; Phalangeridae
Exons: 4
Source: RefSeq, a predicted model, not a curated record
UUUUUGUAUGUAUUCCUUGAAGCAGGAAUAUUUAACUUUUUAAUUUUUAUUUUAAUUUAAAUUUUUAAUACAGUUGUGUUUUAUGCAUUUUAAUCCAUAGGCCAAAUUGCUAAAGGAGCUCAUGAAGUUCAAAAGGGCUGUGCUGUAUCUUUCUCUUAUCUGGAUGUUUGGAAGCAACUGUAUUCAGAGUUACAACUCUGCUCAUCGAUUGUGUAAAAAGGUAUCUGGCCAACACUUCUGAAUAUACAUCAUAAGCUCCUGCAGCCAAUUUCACUGAUGAUACUGGAAUAACCUAUCACUGAAAAUAAAAAUUCACACUCCUGGCAUUGAAACAACUAGUUAACCAUUAAAACAAAAAUCAUGCACUUUUUGAAUGCUAUUGCAGAAAUAUUCUGGCAGUUACUUCACUGCUACAGUGUAAACUCCCCAAGAGCAAGGAGGAUUGUCUUAAAUUCCACUGGAUUCCCCUUGAAAUAUAAUGAAUGUAGGAUAUUUCUUCUCAUGAACCAAGUGCUGCUUUAGUUCAAACAGCUAACAUAGAACUAUGAAACUAGAAAACACUAAAAUAGAAGUCUGAAUGCAACAAAUGGCUUGAUUAAUCUUAAGCCAUAAAUCUUGAGAAAGGUGAUUGUAACCAUAUGGAUCAUAAAAAUCUUCACAUACAUUAUAGGGUUCACAGAAACAGAUGUGAUAUAAUUAGUUCUAAAAUUAUAAAAAGCCAUUCAAAUACCUCCAAGUUACUUUAAAUACAGCCAGCUGUCAAAUAUCCAUGUACUAGGGAGGCAGAAACAACUUGGAUAACUGAAAUUUAAAGAUGAUCCCAAAAUGUCAUUUCAGGCAGUGUCUAAAAUAAAACAACAUUCUACAUUCUAAGUGGACACCCUAAAACAGUGCUGUUGAAUGGACUGAAAACAAGUGAUAAAACUGCUGAGUUUUACACUCCUUUUCCUACCCUGCCCACUGAGUUGGAGGUGCAAAGAAAGAGCCAAAAAAUUGAGCAGGAGAAUCUGGAUAAUAUGAAACUACACAACUGGCCCCUGCAAAAUCAAAUUUGAAGAAGUUAGAAGAUGAAUCCAAAGCAGAAAUUAAACCAGUGUUCCCUCCCAGUAUAAUUAAAUACUUGAUCCUGUGAGUAAAUAUUACCUUUCUCUUUCUUCCUCUUCUAGCAGCCUUUGGAGUGGUCACAUCCAUUGUUUUAGUCACAUCCUAAAGAACAAAAUAAAAUAUUAGUGCAAGAUAUGGAGACCUAAAAAACUUAUCAAGUUUGAAGGGUAUAGUAUAUACCAGAACCAAAGACAUAUUUUACUUAAGUCCUGGUAAGUUUUUGGCCUUUCUAAAUCACAAACAUUAAAACUUUUGAAGUUAUAACAUGAAAGAGUAACCCAGUGCUUGAAAUUAAUACUUUUUCUAAGUGCCUAGAACUACACAUGUGACAACUGGAAAUUAAUCAUAUAUACAAAAGCCUUAAUACAUCUGAAAUGAAAGCUAGAAUUUUUAAUUUCCUUCUCAAGUCACAUUUUUGCUUAGUACAUGGAAUUAACUGUUCUAAAAGGUGUAGCUUUGCUUAAAAGAUACCCAUUCCCAGAUUAAUUCAGGUUAUACACAAUUGUACAUUAUUGAAAUGGGAGGACUGACAACCCCCCUCCCACAAUCUUUUAAAGGGGCUGGGGUGAUGUAAAUAUUUAAAAUAAUCAUCUCCUAAUUUCCUUUUCCUUUCAAAAGACAUUUUCAUAAACAGUGGCAGUUCAGCAAAAUCCUCCUCCCCCCUCCAUCGCCUGUGUGACUUGACAAGUCAUUUAAUCUCUGUGUCUCAAUUUCCUUAUGUAUAAAAUGAGAGUAGAUCUAGAUGACUUUUAAGGUCCCUUUCCAGCUCUAAAUUUAGCAUGGUAUUUGGAAAUCAUAAAUAACAAAUGAAAAUUAUUCUAUUUGUUAGAAUGCUAAGUUGUUGUUAAUGUAUCUUGACAUUCUAUUGCAUAAUUGAGAUAACACACCAAAAUAUUCUUUUGAUAUGUAACAGGUAAAUGUUUGGCACAGAAUGUCUAUAUUUACUAACAUUUUCAUAAGAAAAUGAUUUUUUCUUUAAGUAGGAUUCUAAAGUUUUGCUUUUAAAAGAUUUACUGGGUCAAAAUUUUUCACAUGGUUUGAAUGUUAAAAGUAUCUUAUGGAAAUGUGUGUCUGCCUUUAUAAUGAUA